GCUGGCCAACUUCGUCCGCCGGACUCGCAAUGGCGUGAGCCUUUUCGAGGCACCUCCGUGUGCCAAAACUAUGCCACUGGCACAGCCGCGCCCAAAAAUAACUGCCCGAAGGCCGGGGCGCCAAGUUCGUCCAGCGGAAAAAGGCCACAAAAAUGGGUGGGCUAUGUCCUUGGGGGGUGGGGCUGGCCAACUUCGUCCGCCGGACUCGGAAUGCCGCGAGACUUUGCGAGUUGCCUCCGUGUGCCAAAAAUAGGCCACGGGCAAAGCCGCGUCCAAAAAUAACCACCCGAAGGCCGGGGCGCCAAAUUCGUCCAGCGGAAAAAGGCCACAAAAACGGGUGGGCUAUAGCAUUGGGGGGUGGGGCUGACGAACUUCGUCCGCCGGACUCGGAAUGGCGCGAGACUUUGCGAAGUGCCUCCGUGUGCCAAAAAUAGGCUGCGGGCACAGCCACACCCAAAAAUCACGGCCCGAAGGCCGGGGCGCCAAGUUCGUCCAGCGGAAAAAGGCCACAAAAACGGGUGGGCUAUAGCAUUCGGGGGUGGGGCGGGCGAACUUCAUCCGCCGGACUCGGAAUGGCGCGAGACUUUACGAGGUGCCUCCGUGUGCCAAAAAUAGGCCGCGGCCACAGCCGUGGCCAAAAAUAACGGC
Molecule: long non-coding RNA, 648 nt
Filed under: Citrus x clementina
Lineage: Eukaryota; Viridiplantae; Streptophyta; Magnoliopsida; Sapindales; Rutaceae
Description: Citrus clementina (C. clementina) long non-coding RNA (CCLE_LNC000698)
Source: RNAcentral